UGCGUAGGCGGAAUAUUAAGUCAGUGGUGAAAUCCUGCGGCUCAACCGUAGAACUGCCAUUGAUACUGAUAUUCUUGAAUGUAAUUGAGGUAGGCGGAAUGUGUAAUGUAGCGGUGAAAUGCUUAGAUAUUACACAGAACACCGAUUGCGAAGGCAGCUUACUAAACUAUGAUUGACGCUGAGGCACGAAAGCGUGGGGAGCGAACAGGAUUAGAUACCCUGGUAGUCC
RNAcentral lists this ribosomal RNA (229 nucleotides) under uncultured bacterium. RNAcentral's name for it is "partial 16S ribosomal RNA". It matches the Rfam family "Bacterial small subunit ribosomal RNA", at positions 568 to 796 of the family's 1533-position model. The record is from RNAcentral.